Molecule: non-coding RNA, 30 nt
Filed under: Rattus norvegicus (Norway rat)
Lineage: Eukaryota; Metazoa; Chordata; Mammalia; Rodentia; Muridae
Source: RNAcentral
UGGAUAUAACCUGUUCCUGUGUCCUUGGGU